GGUAACAGAAUAGAGGUGAUUAGAAGCCCAUUCUAAUUCCAGGGUCACUCAGAUGCCUUCUUAGAUGGCUGAAAAGAAGGUGGAGCUACAACUAACUGCCAAUGGUUUGCACAUAACCCAGAUACACCUUGGGAAAUAUCUGGGACAAGGACUGGAGAAUCUCUUUUAAUUGGGUCAGAAAAAAUUUUCUAUAACAUGAAAGUCCUAGAGAGUUUUCCUGACCGCAUGCUCCAGUCCAUUGUUUCUCCAGGAGCUGCUGACCCUCCCUGGGAUCACCUUGUGUUAGCUGAUCUUCCUGCCUAGGGCUGAGGUGAGCUUUCCAGACUGCGUUAUUCUUUCAUCUGCACUGUGCUCUGUUUCUUCAGUUUCUCUAGUUUCUAGUUUUCCUGUCAGCCCCUCCCAAUUUCUGGAGAUCUACUUCUGUUUUUCUUCAUUGAGUUAUUGUUUUCCAGGUGUCUUGAUUUCAGGUCUGAGAGAAGCUGUAUUUUGCUGUAGGCCUUUACUCUGACAUUUUAAAUAUUCAUUCUAUACCUUAGUGAUUGUGAAUAGGUCUUCAGUACACAAGGACAGGCCAUGCAGGCUGAUUUAAUUUUCUUUGAAUAUCUACCUAGCUCAAUUAUUUUUAUUUCUUCCUAACAUUAGGGAGCAAGAGGAUUUUCAGGAGAGAAGGUAGGUAACUUGCUUUACUCUCAGAAACUGCAUAGCAGUUUCUUUGGGAAAUACAAUAUCAUGUUCAGUCCCUUUUCCUUUAUUUGAGUGAGAUGAAACCUUCAAUUUUUCUACAAGGAAAUAGAUUCAAUCUUUUUUUUUGGUACCGGAGAUCAAACUUGGGUCCUUGUACUAGCGAGGCAGGUGGCGGAAUCACUAGCUAAUUCCCCAGCCCAGCUUCAAUCUUACUAAUAGCUAAACUUCCCUGUUAAUUACUAUUUGUAAGGCAUGCAUUUCAUAUAUAGGGCAGUGACACAUGUUAUUUUCAGGCCUUGCUGACUUUGCAAUAAUUGAGCCACCAUAUUCAUCACUUGACAGUCUAGAAGUGUUGGUCUGAAUACAAAAUGUGGUAGUAAGGAUCUGGUCAAGGUUGUGUUAAAUGAGAGAAGUGCAAUAAGG
RNAcentral lists this long non-coding RNA (1107 nucleotides) under Fukomys damarensis (Damara mole-rat). RNAcentral's name for it is "lncRNA (ENSFDAG00000028914.1)". The record is from RNAcentral. Lineage: Eukaryota; Metazoa; Chordata; Mammalia; Rodentia; Bathyergidae.